Molecule: transfer RNA, 65 nt
Filed under: Cardiochiles fuscipennis
Lineage: Eukaryota; Metazoa; Arthropoda; Insecta; Hymenoptera; Braconidae
Description: tRNA-Glu
Source: RNAcentral
UUUUAUAUAAUUUAAGUUAAAAUAUUAUAUUUUCAUUAUAAAAAUAAUAAAAUUAUUUAUAAAAU